GAUGAACGCUAGCGACAGGCUUAACACAUGCAAGUCGAGGGGCAGCGGGGGCGAAGCUUGCUUCGCCUGCCGGCGACCGGCGCACGGGUGAGUAACACGUAUGCAACCUACCCCCUGCAGGGGAAUAACCCGGAGAAAUCCGGACUAAUACCACACGGCACUUUCGGGAGGCAUCUUCUGAGGGUUAAAGGAGCGAUCCGGCCGGGGAUGGGCAUGCGGCGCAUUAGCUAGUCGGCGGGGUAACGGCCCACCGAGGCGACGAUGCGUAGGGGUUCUGAGAGGAAGGCCCCCCACACUGGUACUGAGACACGGACCAG
RNAcentral lists this ribosomal RNA (317 nucleotides) under uncultured bacterium. Its description in RNAcentral is "bacterial SSU rRNA". It matches the Rfam family "Bacterial small subunit ribosomal RNA", at positions 28 to 334 of the family's 1533-position model. The record is from RNAcentral.